Molecule: unclassified non-coding RNA, 335 nt
Filed under: soil metagenome
Description: partial contains 5.8S ribosomal RNA, internal transcribed spacer 2, and large subunit ribosomal RNA
Rfam family: 5.8S ribosomal RNA (bases 1-120)
Source: RNAcentral
GAUGAAGAACGCAGCGAAAUGCGAUAAGUAAUGUGAAUUGCAGAAUUCAGUGAAUCAUCGAAUCUUUGAACGCACAUUGCGCCCAUUAGCAUUCUAGUGGGCAUGCCUGUUCGAGCGUCAUUUCAACCCUUAAGCCCUGUUGCUUAGCGUUGGGAGCCUACAGUACUGUAGCUCCCCAAAGUUAGUGGCGGAGUCGGUUUCACACUCUAGACGUAGUAAUUUUUUCUCGUCUGUAGUUGAGCCGGUCCCCUGCCGUAAAACACCCAAUUUAUCAAGGUUGACCUCGGAUCAGGUAGGAAUACCCGCUGAACUUAAGCAUAUCAAUAAGCGGAGUA